AGUGCCAGGAUGCCAGCGCCUCGCCUGGUCACUGCGGGGACCGCAGCUGGACAGCAGGGAUCCCCCUCAAGCCGGGUUCCAGGAGUAGGGUCUCCCCAGGAAAGGAGAUUGCGCUCUUCCUAGCCCGGACCCAGGGAAUCCCGUGCCCCGCCCGCAGGGCCCAGGCGCCGCGCCCUCUCCGCGCUCCAGCCCACCGCAGCCCCACCACCCCGUUCCCCGAUCGGCUCCGGACUCUGCGGGCAGCGGGCGUCCCUCGGGGAAAAGCCGUGGAAACACACCCGGAUUGAAAUGCCCCUGGCCCGCCUGACCCGACCCUAGGAGAAGCAGCCGAGUUACCCGACAUCGUGGUCAGCAGGAGCUGGGUCGGUGGCUGGAUGCUGCAGCUGCAGGGACUCAGCGCCUGGGAGGGCUCCUGGGGCAGGGAGAGAAGCAGAGAUGCAACAUUUUUAAAGUUUCACAAAGCAUCCGGCUGCACCCAGGUCCCUGGAACAGGAGACAAACAGAAUUAAUGUUUUAUACCUUCGGGUAUAGGUUUGAGUUUUUUCCCCCUCAUGCCAAGUAUUUAAAACCUCUAGAAACCCAUGAUUUGACAAUCAAUGAUUGCGCGAUACUUUCAAUUUGAAUAUUCAAAGGCUUAACAAAAUGGACUAUCUUCUGCAGAAAUCCUGCACACAGGCACCCCACAGAGAGUCCAGAGAAACAGGGAGUGAGACCCCUUUGGGUCCUGGCCCUUGCUUUUAUUAUAUUUUGAGCAUUUUGUCCUCCUUCCCACAGAUAGAGCAGAUGUCCUCAAAGAUGCUCUGUAUUUCAGCCUUCAGGGCAGCUAAGAAGCCAUGAGUGACUUAGGCUGCCCUGGCCAUGAACACCGGAGCCAGACUGGCUGGCCAGACUGAUUCCCGCAUCCCCCAUCUGUGUUUUGAGGGGAAAUCUUAGGUUUUGAGGAAUGAACAUGGCAGCUAGUGGGUGUGGCACAGCAAGAAGUCGCUCUGGGCCCAGGUGGCAGGCCAGCGGCCUAGCAGAGGCCUUCGCUCUGCACCUCCUAUUUUUCUGGUUCCGCCUGGCUACCAGCGGGCUUUCCUCCCCCUUUCAUCCCGCUCUUCCUGGGCCCGACACUGGGGUUUCUGCUCAGAAUGACUGCCCAUUAAGACCCUUUGCUCCUCCCCACAGAGCUGGGGAUGCCAGGAGCCUCAUCCUCUGGAGACUUUCUGACUCUGGGUUUCACCACCGCACUGCGAAGUGCCCUCUUUGCUUUUUCGCCCGCUAGAGCCACCCCUGCCUUUUUGCUGUAGGAGCACAUGUUAGGAAACAAUGACAAGUUUGGCUCCUGCUCAUUUUAACUGAAAGGAUGUGGACUUAGGUUCAAGCCUUCUCCCAUUGGGGUGAGAAGGGGGAGGGACUUGGGAUCAGGCUUCCCCCUUGGUCCAGGCCCAAGCCCCUCACUAAUGACUUGGGAUUCUACUGGGUCAUCUUCUGUGAGUACUUACUGUGCCUCUUCCACGUGAUUUGGAAGGUGAGGAGACAGGAAUGGUCCACAGAGGGAGAGAGUGCCAGGCCAAGUCCUCUCAUAGCCACCCACCCCCUCCACAGAAGGGGACAGCAAGAGAAGAGAGAGGCAUGGUGAGGUUCCUUUUGCAAAUAACCAAGAUAUUUCCAGGAUUCAAGACCAGGCCAUAGUUUUAGGCCUCUGCUCUUUAUUCUCUGAGAUCUCAGAAAUGCAAAAAGUGUAGUUUAGCCCCAGAGGCCUCAAGAAAAAGAUUGGGGUGCCCCCAAAUGUGUCAAAUACAGAGGGAAACACACAGAGCUUAGGGAAAGGGCAACUGAGAAUGACAAGACUGAUAGGAAUUGCUUGGCAGCUGAAGCCACAUCUCUGGGGGAGAGGAGCAGGCCUGGGAACACCUGAGGUGGCACCUGGCAGUGGAGGGCAGGAUGGAUGUAUUGAAAUCUGACAGCUUCUGGAGCUUCUUUCUACAAAUGCCCCUGAGCCUGUGUCCUAGGUUUCCCUGAUGGACCAGACCUGAGGAGGGGAAGGACAAUGGGAGUGGAGAUAGCACCUCCCCUCCCUGAAUACCUUCUUCCCCGCUGUGCCUAGGCCUUGCCCCCUCUGAAGGAACAGUGAACCAAGCAGCUUGGAAUCUAGGGAUGGUCUCUUGUCCUCAUAGCGUCUUCCAUUACUUCUUUUCUUCGCUGCUCUCCUCCUUUUUGUUAUACUCUUAUUUUUUGAUUUGCUUUUAAAAAGCUUCUUCUUUGUUGCAUUUUUGUUUAUUUCUUUCUGUGUUUCUUUGUCUCUCUUCCUGUCACUGCUUUCUUCCAUUUCUUAUCUGCACUACUGGUUUUCUCCCUGGCUUCACGUGUCUCUGUGUUCCCCUGUGCUGGGGUGUCCUCCCAAUGCUUUCAGGCUUCAUCUCCUUCCUAACCUCUCCUUUCAUGUGGAGAUGGACAGGGAUGGCAGGAGCAUUGAGUGCUCUUGGCAACACCAUUGAAGAUGAUGCUGACGAUCAGCUACCCUGUGAAGAAGGCAGGCCAGGCUGGGUGAGAGGGGAGCUCCUUGGAAGUCAGGGGGUCUGUAAGGACAGCAAGGAUCUUUUUGUCCCAACCUCCAGCAGCCUUUAUGGGUGCUUCUGUGUUGGCCUUGUUUCUGGGAUGGCCAUCUCAGUGCUGUUGCUGGCUAGCGAUUUCAGAAAACUAGAUUUGUCUAGGCCUGAGCCCUGUUUUGAGAAAGAAGCUUCCCUCUGGUUUGUAGCCCAACGUUAAUGAGUUUUGGUUCCUGUUGUUUCUAUAAUUACAAAACCCCAGCACAGGUAUUUAAGAGCCAAAGGCCAUGCUUGUGGAAGUAAGGGAGAAUCUUUCUAAAUGGAUCCUGCAAAUCCUCCUUACAGAUCUGAGUGGAUGAUCAGGCCCAGAGCAACCCUGAGACCCCAGGUACCCACAGCAUUGGCUGUUCUUCAUAGGAGACUCAGAGAAGACUUCAUAGGAGACUCAUUAUUGUUUACUGGACAUCAGGUGCUAUAUUGUAUAGCAUUCACAUUCCACAGGUGAGGAAACAGGCUCAGAGGAAUAAGUGGCAUGCCAAGAUCAUUGAGUGUAUCAGUAGCAGAAUUAGGAUUCAGACUUUGAUAGGCCUAACUCCAAAGCCCUGGCUUUUUUUUUUUUUUUUUGAGAUGGAAUCUUACUCUGUCACCAGGCUGGAGUGCAGUGGCAUGAUCUCAGCUCACUGCAACCUCUGCCUCCUGGGUUCAAGUGAUUCCCCUGCCUUAGCCUCCUGAGUAGCUGGGACUACAGGCAUGCACCACCACGCCCAGCUAAUUUUUGUAUUUUUAGUAGAGAGGAGGUUUCACCGUGUUGGCCAGGAUGGUCUCAAUCUCUUGACCUUGUGAUCUGCCUGCCUCGGCCUCCCAAAGUACUGGGAUUAUAGGCAUGAGCCACCAUGCCUGGCCUUUGCUCUUAACUACUGAUGUUGUCUUCCUGAUCUUUUCUACAAGAAGCUUUUAAACUUUUUGGACUUUAACCUACAAUAAGAAAUCCGUUUUACAUGUUCAGAUUUAUCUAUAACAACAUUUAUAUUUCUAAAACAAACUUUUCAUGAAACAACAUAUACCUACAUAUGUCAGGCACUCUGAUAUUUUCUAUUCUAGUCCACCUUUUCCAUUUCAUUCUAUUUAUGGGAAAUAUAUGUUGGUUGGGAGUCACUGAGUUAAUUUAAUGACCCACUAAUAGGCUGUGAGUGGCAUUGGAAAAAUACCUGCUUGUAAGAUAUGCGAACACACGUUUCAAGGUUGUUUGUGCAUGUGGAAAUAUUUUGGGGUGCUAUCUGUUUUACCAUCAGUUUGUACAAGGACACUAAGACAGUGUAGCCUGCUGACUUGAGAAUGUUCUGUAAGGACUGGAAACACUAGAAUCUUGAAGAAACGCCUGGCUAGAGGUGAAAGUAAGCUGUUAAUUACACUGAUUACAGUUUGUGCCUCUCAGACUGAGAACUCUUUUCUUCUUGCUGCGGGCAUUGCUACCUCUAGGAUGUUUGCCCUGAAGUCCUGAUAGUCUCUUUGGGGUUUUAAUAAAUGGCUGAAAAAAUCGUUGUGGGGUUUCAACAGGCGUUCAUAGGCACCCUUGCUUGGCAAUAUAACAUGACUUUUGAUGUUUGGGUGUUGGAAGGGAUCUUUGAAGUGCUGAGAGGGACUCAGUCUUUUUCCAAAAUCUCUGCUUGUGUCUGUCCAGCCUCUGGCUCCACUGCUUGGCUGAGAUCCUGGCCCAUAGUAGAAUAUGUGUAGAGGAAACGAGAGCUCACUAUUUGUGAGGCAGCCUGUUCCACUAUUGGACUGCUUUAAAUGUAGUGAUCAGUGAUUAUGCUAUAAUCCAAUCAUGUAUUAAUUGGGCACCAACUAUGCACUAGGCAUGGUAUCAAGUACCAGGAGUACAAAAAUAAGUAAACCUUGAUUUCUGCUAUCAAUUACUCUCUUCUCCUACUUCUGUACUACUGCUUUUCUAUUGUGAGUUUGUUUAGUUCAUUAAUUGGUUUAUUCAUUCAUUCAACAAUCAUAUACUGAUUAGCUACUCUGACCAGGUCCAGUACUAACUCUAAAGAAGUUAUGCCCAUCCCAUCUUCACCCCAAGCCUUCUCCUUUUGAGACUCCUCAUCCAGUUUCUUUAGUUCUUCAUAUAUCACUGUUUUUCAGAUCUCUGGCUAUCCUUGCCAUUGACCUCAGAAAUCCUGUAUUUGACCUUAACCUUCUUAUACCCAGUCCAUACCCAAAGUGAUGGAAAUGGAAUAGAUUUCUUUUUAAAGUUUUAAACGAAUAUUUUGACUGAAAAAUUUUGGCAGUCUUGUAUGCAAAUGACACUGCAGAGCAUUGUUUUCUCCCCCCCACAUAGGAGAUUUUAUUCAACUUAGGCACAGGCAUAUUAAAAGACUUUCAGUAUAAGGAAAAGGGGUAGUUUAUUCCCUCCAAAUUUGACUACAGCUCGAAAUUGUCUUUAUUAAUGCAAAGUUCUUUUGUCACCUUGACUUUGGGACACUGUUACCAAACCUUGUGGGAAAUAUCAAGUUCCAGAAGAUUGAAUACAUGCAGGAAACAAAUGUUUUUUGGGCCCUAGAGUGAACAUUUGGUCCAUAUGAAAAUGACCAGGAAGACAAUUAGGUGAAGGUUUUUUAAUGAUUUGUGCUACGUCAGUCUCUUCCCAUAAGACAUAUUCAAAGUUUUAACUUUUCCUUAAGAGGCUUCCAUGGGGAGCAAGCAUUUGAUAAUUCAUCCUUUAACUAAGAAAAACACCACCGUACACUGCUUGAAGAGUUCCUCUUCUAUUACUUAAAACGUUUUUAUUGUGCAACAUUUAAGGCAUACAAAAACAUAUAAAGAAUACCAUGAUGAAAAUCUAUGACUGUAUUACCAAGCUUAAGAAAUAAAACAAUUGAGUGAUCUCUCAUUUAUGACUAAAUUAACUUAUUAAAACCAUUAAAACUUUUGGAUUAUUCCUGUUAA
RNAcentral lists this non-coding RNA (5474 nucleotides) under Pan troglodytes (chimpanzee). The record is from RNAcentral. Lineage: Eukaryota; Metazoa; Chordata; Mammalia; Primates; Hominidae.